AGAGUUUGAUCCUGGCUCAGAACGAACGCUGGCGGCAUGCCUAACACAUGCAAGUCGAACGGCUCUUCGGAGCAGUGGCGCACGGGUGAGUAACGCGUGGGAACCUACCCUGAGGUUCGGAAUAACGGCUGGAAACGGCCGCUAAUACCGGAUGUGCCCUGAGGGGCAAAGGCUUGCCGCCUUGGGAGGGGCCCGCGUCCGAUUAGCUAGUUGGUGGGGUAAAGGCCUACCAAGGCGACGAUCGGUAGCUGGUCUGAGAGGAUGAUCAGCCACACUGGGACUGAGACACGGCCCAGACUCCUACGGGAGGCAGCAGUGGGGAAUAUUGGACAAUGGGCGCAAGCCUGAUCCAGCAAUGCCGCGUGUGUGAUGAAGGCCCUAGGGUUGUAAAGCACUUUCGCCGGUGACGAUGAUGACGGUAGCCGGAUAAGAAGCCCCGGCUAACUCCGUGCCAGCAGCCGCGGUAAUACGGAGGAUCCAAGCGUUAUCCGGAUUUAUUAGGUUUAAAGGGUGCGUAGGCGGAAGAAUAAGUCAGUGGUGAAAUCCUGCAGCUUAACUGCGGAACUGCCAUUGAUACUGUUUUUCUUGAGUACGGUUGAGGUAGGCGGAAUGUGUAGUGUAGCGGUGAAAUGCUUAGAUAUUACACAGAACACCGAUUGCGUAGGCAGCUUACUAAGCCGUAACUGACGCUGAGGCACGAAAGCGUGGGGAUCGAACAGGAUUAGAUACCCUGGUAGUCC
Molecule: ribosomal RNA, 740 nt
Filed under: uncultured bacterium
Lineage: Bacteria
Description: bacterial SSU rRNA
Rfam family: Bacterial small subunit ribosomal RNA
Source: RNAcentral